This 2599-nucleotide long non-coding RNA is filed under the name Canis lupus familiaris (dog). RNAcentral describes it as "lncRNA (ENSCAFG00845010508.1)". Lineage: Eukaryota; Metazoa; Chordata; Mammalia; Carnivora; Canidae. The record is from RNAcentral.
ACUUCACUAUGUUUUAUACUUAUUUUCAUUCAUCUUAUUUGCUACUAUGGUACUUUAAAAAAAAAAAAAGAAGAUUUAUUGGGCAGGCCUGGUGGCCCAGCAGUUUAGCACCACUUUUGGCCCAGGGUGUGAUCCUGGAGACCCGGGAUCGAGGAGUCCUACGUUGGGCCCCCUGCAUGGAGCCUGCUUCUCCCUCUGCCUGUGUCUCUGCCUCUCAUUCUCUCUCUGUGUCUGUCAUGAAUAAAUUUUUAAAAAUCUUAAAAAAAAAAAGAUUUAUUUAUUUUAAUGGGGAGGAUGGGAGAGGGGGAGAGAGAAUCUCAAACAGACUCCCCUCUGAGUGUGGAGCCUAAAGCCAGGUUCAAUCUCACAACCCUGAGAUCAUGACCUGAGUUGAAACCAAGAGUUGGUGCCCCAACUACUAGUGUACUUUUUCUUUAAUUUUUAAAAAUUUGUUAAAAGAUUUUAUUUAUUCAUUCAUGAGAAUCAGGCCCUGGGCUGAAGGCAGCGCUAAACCGCUGAACCACCUGGGUUGCCCUACUAGUGUACUUUUAAUCUGAGUAUUCAUGCGUCUUCCAACGCUAGAAAAUCUCAGCUCCUCUUUCUUCAAAUAUUGCUUCUCCAUUCCCUUUUUCUUCACUCCUAUUAGGCAUAGUCGAGGACUUGUGUCAUUCUCUACCAAAAUCCCUACUAUUGUUCACAAGGUUGUAACAACAAUGCUUGUCUACCCUUCCAAAUGGAAAAUUAAUAUAAAAUAUAGUGAAGUGCUUAACUCUUAUUUUCAUAAAGCAAAAUUUUCAUUCAGAAAUGCACUAAAUCACAUUAUUUAAGACAGUGGUGUUUAGAGUAUAAGGAUUAUUACAAAAUCCUAUGUAUUAUACUAUGAAACUAAAAUUAAAAUCACACACUGAAUUUAAUAAGCUAAAAAUCAGAGAGACUCAUGAAAAUACUGAAAUUUACAAGCGACAAUGACAUUACUGUCAAAGUCUAGGAUUUCAAACUAGUUGUGUGAAUUCUCUAAUUUUUGAAUCCUCAAUUCAUUAAAAAAAAAACCCUGUUGAUCCAUGCUUACACAACAGUAGCAUGUAUCUAUUCUAUUGAACAUAUAUAUAUAUUACAAUCCUACAGCAAGGUAACACCCUCCAGCAGCCCUUGCCUGCUAAAGUUUUCUACAUAGUAAUCAUUAUCUCAUAGUUAUUUUUUUGACACAUCAAUUAUCACUACCUGAUAUAGUGCUCACUUGUCUGUCUUCUUCUUCUAAAAGAUUAACUCCAUGAGAGUGGAAGCUUAGUCUUUUCUGGUCAUUACUGUAUUACCUGGAACACAUAUUCCCUUGCACACAAGAGUUCCUUAAUAUUUGUUGAGUGGAUAGUAAGAUCAUAUAUUCCUAUAUGCUCCAGAUUUUGCUUCAAGUUAAAAUUAAGCGAGAGACAUUUUUUAUUAAAAUGUGUAAAACAGCAGUGUGUGGUAAGGAAGGUAGAACGUGGGUGAUGCCACCAGUCAGAGGACGCAAAUAGUGCAGUCGUUCUGGCCAUAGGGGAGGCUAAUUGUGGAAAAUCAGGAGAGUAAGAAAGCUAGCUGAAUGACUGAGAGCUUAUUAACUUGCUCAGAUGGAUGCUUAGAUACCAGCAUGUCAGAAUCAGUAAACCACUGUUCUAAUGGAAACAUGGUAUAUAGCAUGUAUCCUUCGCAGAUCCCAAUUACAUUCACAUGCCCUAACCUGGCAGAAAAGGGCCUUCACAGUCAUCACUCCACUGUUCUGCUUCCUGCUCCCUCCACUGAGAACUAAUCACGCUUUUCUGCAAAUUGGAUCUUCCUGUUUCUCACAGGUUCUGGCCUGCUCCUCUUCUCCUGCAUAGAAUAUUUUACCUUCUCUUCCCCUUAUGUCUCCUAUCUCCUACUUUUCCUUUAGUUCUUGAUUCAGAGAUUUAUUUACCAACAAGGAAGUAUGAUCCUCAAAGACAGGGGCUGGGUGACAUUCACAGAUGUAUCCCAGCCCUUAGCAUGACAACUGACAUAUAGAGGGUAGUCUGUAAACAGUUAUUGAAUGCAUGAGGAGUAAAUGGUUGCAGAAUGGAUGAAUGUAAACAGAUCCAAGAAGGUGGCCGAGUCAGAGGCACCCUAAGCAGUCAUGGUUAUAUAGUUGGUUAAGUCUCAAACCCACCAAAGAAAAGUAUGUGUUUGGCUCAGGAUUCAAGGAACUUUGGAGGAGACUGGGAGGACUUGCUAUCACAGCUGAGUUGUAUUAAGCAAGGUGAGGUCAAAGGCAGGGUAAAACCAUCAAGUAGCCAGAAAUUCCAGCCUUUCCUUUUUUGAUGCUUUUGCCAAUUCUUACCAUAGCAGUUCCCUUUUUAAGCUGAUUCCAGACACCAAAUUCCCUCCUACUUUUUCUCCUUUCUACACUAUGGGGUCUCUAGGCAUCUUAUCUGUGAAAUCUCAGGCACUGAAUGGUGAAGAAGCAGUCAUGAAUAUUUUAACUGCAGGUUCUCAGAAACUCUGGCAUUAUGGCCCACAGGCAGCUACCCACUCUGCUGCUAGUCAGAUGAGUGUGGGCCUCAUCACUCACUGCAUGGAGGAUCAGACAGCCUUCUAGGAGGACGCA